RNAcentral lists this ribosomal RNA (450 nucleotides) under uncultured bacterium. RNAcentral describes it as "partial 16S ribosomal RNA". It matches the Rfam family "Bacterial small subunit ribosomal RNA", at positions 330 to 794 of the family's 1533-position model. The record is from RNAcentral.
GCCAGACUCCUACGGGAGGCAGCAGUGGGGAAUAUUGGGCAAUGGAGGCAACUCUUACCCAGCAAUGCCGCGUGAAUGAAGAAGGUCUUCGGAUUGUAAAGUUCUUUAAUUGGGGACGAAAAAAAUGACGGUACCCAAGGAAUAAGCCCCGGCUAACUACGUGCCAGCAGCCGCGGUAAUACGUAGGGGGCAAGCGUUAUCCGGAUUUACUGGGUGUAAAGGGGGCGCAGACGGCAGCGCAAGCCAGGAGUGAAAGCCCGGGGCCCAACCCCGGGACUGCUCUUGGAACUGCGCGGCUGAAGUGCAGGAGGGGCAGGCGGAAUUCCUGGUGUAGCGGUGAAAUGCGUAGAUAUCAGGAGGAACACCGGUGGCGAAGGCGGCCUGCUGGACUGCGACUGACGUUGAGGCCCGAAAGCGUGGGGAGCAAACAGGAUUAGAUACCCUGGUAGA